Molecule: long non-coding RNA, 1776 nt
Organism: Rhinopithecus bieti (black snub-nosed monkey)
Lineage: Eukaryota; Metazoa; Chordata; Mammalia; Primates; Cercopithecidae
Source: Ensembl
CCUGACUCACCCAGGACUAGUCUUGACAUUCAGAGCUCAACUCACACCCUGGGUUGUGUCCAAGCCCUCGAUUCUGUUUGGCUCAGAUGGCCCCACGCUCCCCGGGGCAGAGCCGUCCCGAGGCAGCCUCUGCUUUCAUGAUGCUGUGUCUCUGUGUGUUGGGGUGUGUGGCCGUGGAGGGGCUGUGGUCACAGAGGAGCCAACCAGGAGCACUGAAGGCUGCCCGUAGCCAUGGAGACAGGGCCCCUGGGCCAGCCAGGCCCGGGCUGGUCAGUGAAUGAAUAAACGUGGCCCAUUUUUCUGCCUUUGUCCGGAGCCUCCCUGGGGCUUCCUGCUGUCAGCCCCAGCUGUGGGGAAGGCGGAAUUUGCCUGAUAUCGCGGAGCCGCCGCCUGGCAGCGCUGAGCCUGGCCCGGGCCGCCCCACGCCAAGAUUCAUGCCCGGCUAACAAGCCCCACUUUGUUCCUGUGGGAAAGUCCAGCCUCUCAGGAAAGAGCCCUCUCUCCGGCCGGCCCCUGGUCUGGGGACUCAGUGAAGCAAACAAAGCCUCCAUCCGCUGGCAACGAUUCUCAGGCCCCAAAGUCCACCUCCGUUCCCUGGCCGGGGAGGAGCUGCUCUGGGAGGUGGAAUUCCAGCACAUCCCUUUGUCCCACUCAUCUGGGAGGCCUGAGAUGCCACCUGUCUGGUUCAGUUCUAAAGACCACUGGCCCAUCUGGACUGUCCUGGACAUUCUGGCUGCAGCCUGUCUAUUUGGCAGGUGCAAGAAACUGCUACCAAUCCACCCCAGCCUCUUCUUGAGUGUUCACUGCUAGAUCAACCCUGUGGACAGCCAAUUCCUAUAUGGAUCAUCCCCAUAAAAGUGGUUCCCAAACCUGGCUGCCCGUUGGAAUCAUGAGGGGGAUGUGGAGAGCAUUUAGAAAAUGCCCAUGUUUGUUCUGCCAACAGAGAUGGUAAGGAUAUUGGUCUGGGGUGCAGCUUGGCCACCAGGAUGGCCUUAAAAGUUCCGCAGCUGAUUCUAAUGUGCAGCUAAAAUGAUGAACGCUGACCUAGAAGGACAAGACAGUGGCCCCGUGGACUAUCUCCUUCUUUAAAAUGGACAAUUCACUUGGUAUUAAAGGCUCUGACACCCUGCAGUAAAAACGCCUGUUUAGCGCAGUGUUCCCAAACUUAUUUAACCAUGGAACCCUUUCCUCUCCCAACAACUGUUGACAUUGGAAAAAUAACAUUCUGCAGAACACACGCUAGGGCAUGCCGGGGAUGGAGCAUUGACGGAGCCAGGGGUAUAUGGAAUGAAGAGGUUUCAGACAAGCCAUCCUUUAGGGUGAGAAGGUCCUGGGAGUACUAGAAACAAAAGCUCUAUAGAGGCAGAACUCAUUCUGACCUUUCCCCAUCAUGAAGAUUGUAUUGUUGAUCAAAAAAUCCACUCUCCAUAUGCUGACCACUGGCUUGGCUAUGUGACUUGCUCUGACUAAUGAAAUACAAUAAUAACGACAUUUAUCCCUUCUGGGUUGAAGCUUUAAAAGCUGUUGCCUGACACCAUUGAGUUCUCUGGUUUCCUUUCAUCAUGAGACCUCAACAUCCCUGAUAGAGGGUACUCCCUUAACCCAGGUCCCAGGGUAAAGGAGACACAGAACAGAGUACAGCCAAUCCCCCAUGGACAAGUAACUUCAGCAAGAAAGAAAUCUUUGUAGUUGUAAGCCACUGAUAUUUGGGGACUCACUUGUUACCACAGCAUAGCAUAGCUUACACUGACCGAUGCACUCAUGGACAUGGUUCUG